CCCCAGUACAUCCCACUCGUCCACUGGCGCUUCCUAAUAGCAGCAUCUUUAUUUUCCUACCUGAAGCGCUCUUGUCCUUCCAAGCGACAGGAAGGAGAUAAGGCGUGUUCUUGUUAAGAGCUUGUUCGGAGUGGGAACACGGGUAGCUCUGGGAGCCCUGCUGACCAUUAUCUUCCCAUUCAGGUCUGUAUUGUGGAAGCUGCUCUCUAUUUUCUCAUGUAGAG
This 224-nucleotide long non-coding RNA is filed under the name Felis catus (domestic cat). Its description in RNAcentral is "lncRNA (ENSFCAG00000047119.1)". Lineage: Eukaryota; Metazoa; Chordata; Mammalia; Carnivora; Felidae. The record is from RNAcentral.